UGCAGUCGAACGAUGAACCAGGGCCUUGCCCUGGGGAUUAGUGGCGAACGGGUGAGUAACACGUGGGCAACCUGCCCCUGACUCUGGGAUAACUCCGGGAAACCGGGGCUAAUACCGGAUACGAACCACGACGACAUCGUCGAGGUUGGAAAGUUUUUCGGUCAGGGAUGGGCCCGCGGCCUAUCAGCUAGUUGGUGGGGUAACGGCCCACCAAGGCGACGACGGGUAGCCGGCCUGAGAGGGCGACCGGCCACACUGGGACUGAGACACGGCCCAGACUCCUACGGGAGGCAGCAGUGGGGAAUAUUGCACAAUGGGCGGAAGCCUGAUGCAGCAACGCCGCGUGAGGGAUGACGGCCUUCGGGUUGUAAACCUCUUUUAGCAGGGAAGAAGCGAGAGUGACGGUACCUGCAGAAAAAGCACCGGCUAACUACGUGCCAGCAGCCGCGGUAAU
This 454-nucleotide ribosomal RNA is filed under the name uncultured bacterium. RNAcentral describes it as "bacterial SSU rRNA". It matches the Rfam family "Bacterial small subunit ribosomal RNA", at positions 56 to 524 of the family's 1533-position model. The record is from RNAcentral.